RNAcentral lists this ribosomal RNA (455 nucleotides) under uncultured bacterium. RNAcentral describes it as "bacterial SSU rRNA". It matches the Rfam family "Bacterial small subunit ribosomal RNA", at positions 28 to 524 of the family's 1533-position model. The record is from RNAcentral.
GACGAACGCUGGCGGUGUGCUUCACACAUGCAAGUCGAACGAGGUAGCAAUACCUAGUGGCGGACGGGUGAGUAACGCGUGGGAAUCUGCCCAUAGGUGGGGGAUAACUAGCCGAAAGGUUAGCUAAUACCGCAUACGCCGAAAGGUAAAAGGAGUAAUCCGCCUUUGGAUGAGCCCGCGUCCGAUUAGCUAGUUGGUAGAGUAAAAGCCUACCAAGGCGACGAUCGGUAGCUGGUCUGAGAGGAUGAUCAGCCACAAUGGGACUGAGACACGGCCCAUACUCCUACGGGAGGCAGCAGUGGGGGAAUUUUACGCAAUGGGGGGAAACCCUGACGUAGCGACACCGCGUGAAUGAAGAAGCCCUUUGGGGUGUAAAAUUCUGUCGGCUGGGAAGAAAAAAUGACGGCACCAGCAAAGGAAGCAUCGGCUAACUACGUGCCAGCAGCCGCGGUAAU